GAUGAAGAACGUAGCGAAAUGCGAUAAGUAAUGCGAAUUGCAGAAUUUCCGUGAGUCAUCGAAUCUUUGAACGCACAUUGCGCCCACUGGUAUUCUGGCGGGCAUGCCUGUUCGAGCGUCAUUACGCCCCUCAAGUCCCCUGUGGACUUGGUGUUGGGGAUCGGCGAGGCUGGUUUUCCAGCACAGCCGUCCCUUAAAUUAAUUGGCGGUCUCGCCGUGGCCCUCCUCUGCGCAGUAGUAAAACACUCGCAACAGGAGCCCGGCGCGGUCCACUGCCGUAAAACCCCCCAACUUUUUAUAGUUGACCUCGAAUCAGGUAGGACUACCCGCUGAACUUAAGCAUAUCAAUAAGCAGAGGA
This 359-nucleotide unclassified non-coding RNA is filed under the name soil metagenome. Its description in RNAcentral is "partial contains 5.8S ribosomal RNA, internal transcribed spacer 2, and large subunit ribosomal RNA". The stretch from base 1 to 121 matches the Rfam family "5.8S ribosomal RNA", at positions 35 to 154 of the family's 154-position model. The record is from RNAcentral.